RNAcentral lists this long non-coding RNA (20903 nucleotides) under Linum usitatissimum (flax). Its description in RNAcentral is "long non-coding RNA (LUSI_LNC005457)". The record is from RNAcentral. Lineage: Eukaryota; Viridiplantae; Streptophyta; Magnoliopsida; Malpighiales; Linaceae.
AACCCCGGGACCUGAUGAUGCCAUACUGUAGAUUCCGAGUGUAUGAACCAAUAUAGCCUACUGUCACUCUGAAAUGAAAAAUACGGGCCAGUGCUAUCACUGAGUGAGAAAUUUUGUCCUCGACCACAUUAAGGUGCACAUAAUUAUACUAACAGUAUUCAGCACGUAUCACAAAAGGCUACAUAUACACUAACACCUUAUCACAUAUUGUAUUUGGGAUCCUGAGUCACAUAUGCUAACAACCCAUAUAUUAGUGGCAUUGAAUUGGGCCAUAGAGACAGUGGUUAGUGUUGUGCUUACCGAGGCCCACAACCUCAGUAGUUAGUGUGGCGCUGCUUACCAAGGCCCAUCGAGAAACAUAAUUGUAAUAAGAACUAAUCGUCAACAUAUGAGCCCUAACUACCUAAUAUAUUUGAUUAUCAGUAACAAGUACAGUUCAGACUAAAACAUAUUCUAAAAUAGAUAUACCAGCAAAGUAACAUAACAUGUAUCACAUUAACUUACAAAUAUAGUAAAUAAGCGCACAUGAUCUUAAGGUUAAACGACCAGUGUCGUUGCAUGCAAAUGAACUUUAAUAAUAAACUCAUAAUUGAACAUCUAACCCGAUUAGAUACGUAAGAGACCCUCACUAGAAAUAAUCCUUGAAAACCCGACAAUAGCUUUUGAAUAGAAAUUUUAACUCUGGACCUCCUUUAAGAAAUAAUUGCUAGGUUCUAGUUUUCUUGUAAUCCUUCGACUCACAUUUUCAGGUACCAAAAUAUUUGCCCCACCUUAAGGUAAACCGCUUAUGCCCUUUUAUCAACACCGCUUCUAUCAUUUACCAAGUAAAAUACCUACCAAUGCCAAUAAGCUAAUUAACUUGUCCACAUCUUUGGCACCUGGACAUUUCAUUAAUCUAAAGGGAUGCUCGAAUGCAUGCAUGGGUGUAAUCUCCUCAAGCUAGCCUCGUUUAUACUUCUCUUUCGUAAGGUUUUGCAGAGCUGGUGUGCUGAAUUCUAAAAGAUAAUUGAGAAGGAAAGAUGAUAUCUUGAAAAGGAAGAAGUAGAGAGCAGAGAAAAUAGUGAGAUAGUGAAAGGUUGUGAUAUAUUGAAAAGGAUUCAUGUCCCUCCCCUCAUUGAAUACAAUAACAUAUAACUCUUCCCUGAAUCUCAGAUGGAUGGAAACAGUCCAAGUGAAUGGGUCUAGGCAUACAAUGCCAAAAUGCAAAAUCACAAGUGAUUGAAACACAAACAAGCUAAUAUUCACUAAAAAGCAUGCAGAUAGGGAUAAAUAAUAACUACAAAUCCUAGCACUAUCAAAUCCUCCCACACUUGAACAUUGCUUGUCCUCAAGCAACUUUACUAUUCACAUUCUAAACAGACUUUAAACAUGGUGAAAAGGGAACAACAUGGUAGCAGUUCAAGCCUACUUCACGACGCCAAGAACACACUUUUGAUCACCAAACCACACAGUUACAUUUAUCGAGCCUUCUAAACCAAAUAAAGAACAAAUUUAUGCAUAUAGUUAAUACCACUCAGCACCUACCGGAAAAAAAACAUGUCCCCAUCACUUAGGCUAAAAAAAGAUGGUCCUGGCCGAGUAUUUUUCCCGUUCUAAGGGAGGGAGUGCUUACUUCAAUAAUAUAUCCAAAUCAAAGCACUCCCCUCUUGUUUUACAAUUUUGCUAUACAUGAUAUGUUAACCACUUUGGGUCAAAUGAAUUACUCAAUUAAUUGCAAACCCAUUUUUCAAAAAAAAAAAUUGCAUAGCUUUUGGGGUUGUCUUUCCAAGUGAGGGUAUUGCGAGCCUGAUUGGGCUAAGGCUCUUAUCUACAUAUAUUGAGUUUACCCAGAAAACCCCAACCCACAACUAGGAAGAGAUGAGAAGAGAAGCCCGAAGGGACAAGCUUAUAGGGGGCAGACUCAAAGUCGCCAUGUGUGUUGAAUCGCAACCGAACCCACGGCAAUUUGGGCACAUUGGCCUCUUUUGCACCUUAUUCGGACCAUCUAGUCACAUAUGACUUUAAACAACUAGAGCAACUCGAUAGGAGAAUUAAUUGUUCACAAAGUCGGUAGACAUCAAGACCGAGUAACCAAAUGCAUAAAUCAAUCGUAAACUCGUUUCGAGAAACACGGGAGGCGGUUCCAAAAUGAUCUAUCAUUCAUCCUAUUCACCCUCAAGCAGCAAUACUAUGCUAAACAUGCAUCCACUUCAUCCAAAGUUUCAAGUUUAAGAGGGAAUUUCAAACGUUGAGUGACAAGGGUUGUAUUAAAGCAAAAGUGAAUCAACCAGCACCCUAAUUCAUCCAAGAAAACCACAUCAUUACCCCCAAAGUAGUGACAUAAGAGAAGAGAAAAGUUGAUACCAAAGCGAGUUAAUGAAAUGGGGUUUGGUGCUGAGAUGCGAUAACAGAACCAUUAUUGAGACCUGCCACCCAUAACAAAAACAACAUACUAGUGAUAGAUGUAACAAGUGUUAUCAUCCGUUAACAAGGGUCCAAUUGAAGCACAUAUGUUUACCAAUCAAUCAAAACCAAUCCCUCCCCACACUUAGAAUUUCUUUUGUCCUCGCGAAAUAUCUAAUGUGAAAGGCAGGGAAACAAACUUAGGGUAGUUGGUUAUUAUUUAAAAAAAAAGAAAUUAGGGUGCACGACAUGCAUGGGUGCACUACGUGCAUGCCAAUUGUCAUAGAAGGUAAUUAGACCAUCUAGAUUUGUAGGUGUGUAGGCUAAAUUUCAGCAACAAUUUUGUUUUAAACCUUCAACAACACUCAACAAUCACAGCUCCCUAGCAUUCAUUUGGCAACAACGACCAAAUAGGACACUAUCACUAGACUCAUAACUAGACUGAAUCACAAGACCGACACAAAAGACAUACCAAAACACAAACAAACCAGAAAUCCUUGGUCUUUUAUUCUCUAUUCUAACAAUGAAUACGCAAGGAGUGCCUCCUAAGAGCGUUCUUUCUUUUUCGCCUUUGAGCUAGACGAUACCUGGAUUAUGUACCCCAACUUAGAACCUCCUUGAAUUCCAUUAGCUUCUUCAAGGAUUGGACUUAAAUUCCAUGUAGCACCCUUAGAGAGAGAUGGAGGAGACGAAGGGUUGUGAGUGCUAGCUCUUUCCUCAUUGUGGCUUCCUCCUAGUAAAUGUGUUUGCUUGAGGAUGGUAGAGGUAGGUUGGUGAGUGAACAUCAAGCUCUAUUAUGCUCCACAAGCUAAUGGUGGUACUCAAGCGGUAUGUGAGGUCGUCCAAGGGUGGUCCCCAAAUGGAGGAGUCCGUUCUAGAUUGGUGUAGGAAGUACUCCUUACGAGUUUCCUCACAUAGGUACUUCAAAACCAAACAUGAGUCUUGAAGGGUCUUGUUUGGUCUCAUUGGAACUAUGACUUGAGGAAAACGCCAAAUGAUGGGUUGCUCAAUGGGAGGCACAAUGUUGAAUUUGGGAGGCCCGUUACCUUCAUGUACUUCUUCCUUCCUUUCUCCAUCAUCCUCCCUUUCGGACUCUUCUACCCCAACAUCAAAGAGAGGUAGUUUGCUUUCAAGGAAGGUUGAUGCCUUCAUUUUUUCUUCAUCCAUUUCCUCGGAUGUCACACCCAAAUCAUGAUCAUUCAUCUCAAUCUCCUCCAAUUGUGGUAGGAGAGGAAGUUCCUCCACAAGUCGUGUCAAAAGGUGAGUUUGUUCGUUUAAUAUUUCUAGUCUACGAUGACCCUCCUCAAGUUGCAUAAGGAGUUGCUCAUGCAUACAAGGAGGGGAUUGAUAUGAAUAAUCGGGUCUUGAGUAUUAAUAAUCUUCAAAAGGUGCUUUAUCUUGAUUGUGGCCUUGGUGGGAGUAGAUUAAAGGUGAGUAUUGGUGAUAGUGAGUUGAAGGUGAGUCUGGGUAGAAAGGUGUUGGAGAUUGGUGUGCACCCCAACUUGGCAUUGCUCCUUGCCCAAAGUUACUCCCUUGUUGUUGCUCUCCAUCAUAACUAGGUUGGUAGUAGUUUGGUGGAUCUUGAUGCUCAUAAUGUUGGUUUUGCUUAGGAUAUGAGCUCCAUCCUUCAUCUCCAUCACUUGCACCAUAUGAACCUUGCCACUCUCCAUUCUAACUAUAACCUUGCAUAUGAACUCAAACAUUAAGAACCCAAGUAAAUUAUGUGGGAGAAAAACAAAAACAAAGUAACACUAUACAUGGGAGUCGAAUGUCUAAAGCUGCACCGACUUAGUUCUUUCAAACGAACGAGAGAGAGGUUUUAGGUGUAAGGCCUGCACGUCGUACACUUAUGCAUGACGUGCAGUCUAAUUUCAAUGAGAGAUUUUUUGAAAUUAAGGGGUUGCACGGCGUGCAACCCUUCUUCUUUACUAAUUCUUGCAUCGACACUCCAUUCGAGGUCCAACCGUGCUCUAUUCCACGUCCAUAGCCUCAUAGCCAGACCACCUGUCUCUAAAGUACUUGUGGAUAACAAAUACUACAAAGAAACAUCAAAUGGACCGAAAUGGUCCAAGUGAACGGGUAGGCAUACAAUGCCAAAACGCAAAAUCACACGGGAUGAAAACACAAACAAGCUAAUAGUCACUCAAAAGCAUGCAUAUAGGGAUAGAUAAUCACUACAAGUACUAGCACUAUCACUCAGGUUCCAACUCUCGAUUCUCCGUCUUUAUAGCUUCCGCAUUCUUUUCAAGCAUAUAUAAGAUAUACCCUUCACCUCUCAUCUACUACCUUGGAUGGAGGUGUGUGAUUUCCACCCAGCCUUAUGCUUCUCCCCAUCCAAUUGAAUUCCAUCGUCAGCUUGUUGAAAUCCCACUUAAUGGGACCCAGUGGUCGAAGCCAUUGUACCCCGAGAAUUAUGUCAUACUCUAGUAUGGGUAAGAUGUGUAAAUCCACAUAAGAGUACAUCCCUUGAAUCUGCACUACCAUCCCGGAGUAGUGCCCUGGGCUCUUAAGGACCUCUUUGCUCCCCACUGUGACAUUAAAUUGAGUGUUACUCUCUGGAAUAAGAUACAGCUUCUUAGCCAUUCGCAUACUUCAAAAAUUAUGGUUGCUUCCGCUAUCCACCAGCGUUUUGAGUUGAUGAUAGUUCAUACGCUUCAUAAUUUCAGAACUUUCCACCCCUGUCAUCACAUUUAGAGAUAGAUCAAGAUAAGUGGAGCCUUCACCUUUCUCUAAAUCAACCUCCCAUUGUUCUGCUUCCAUGAUAGUUCAAUCAGGAAUAAUCAUUUGCAAUGAUGUCCUGGUGUGAAUACUUCAUCGCAAUUAAAGCAAAGUCCCUUCUCCCGUUGCUCUCUAAUUUCUACUGGAUUCAAUCGCUUGAUCGGUAACUGGCGAUUUGGUGGAAGAGCUGCAAUUCGAUUUGCUGCGUUGGCUGGUCCGAGGGUACUAAUGGUCAAUUUAUCUUCAAACAAGCGAGUAAGACCAAUUGCGGCUGAAAGACUAGUGGGUUGAUGACCUGCUUGCACCUUAAUCGACAUAUAUAUUUCCAAGUCCCUGAUGAAGCAUGCUACUUAUUGCUACUGAGCUAAGUGCCCUGCCUGAACCAAGAGUGGCUCAAAUUUAGCUGGAUAUUCUCGAACGGUCACCUUCUGCUGAAACUUGGUGAGCUCUCCAAAUGGGCUCUCGAAAUGAGUGGGACCAAAUCAUGAGUAAAUUCUGGCUUUAAGUUGGUCCCAUGUUACCAGUCCUUACUCUUUUAAGACUUGAAGCUAGAGUUGAGCCUCCCCUUCCAUAUAUAUGGAAGUCAAAAGGACCUUAUCAACUUCCAUCGUUUGAUAAUACUAAAAAAAUUGCUCGGCUCGACAUACCCAGGUCACCGAGUCUUCACCUCCAACAAACUUCGGAAAGUCGAUCUUAAUUCGAUCCCCUUGCAGUCGUGGGUUGCCGCCUGCUCCACCAUAUGGACCCGAAACUCCUCGAUCAUUCCUCCGCUCUAGGCUUUAAAUUCUACGAACAAAAACACUAAAAUCUCUGAAGAAGGAUGGUACCACAAGUUUCUUGGAUGGAGUUCCGGUCAGCUCCAUCAGCCGGUGUCCACAGGACUGGCUAACCCUUUUUGUUUUCAUAUGUUUUUCUUUAUAUGUUCAAUUUUAGAUUUCACCAUGCAAACGAAUACUUCCGAAUUUUAUUCUCGCUGUGUGAAUUUAGAAUGGAGCAUCGUACGUCAUCCAUCCCAUGCUCCAAUUGGUCAAUAAAACCCUCCAUCUCGAUCACGUCCUUCAGGUCGUCCGGCUCUGAUACCACCAUGUAAUGUGUCGUAGUUUGAUGAGUGACGACUAGUUCGGGUCUCCGCCACCGCCGAUGUCCCCAAGACACUACCUCAUCGUCUUUUCGCGAACUAGUGGCUUGCUCCAGCGUAAUCAGCCGUGUCGCUGCGUUGCAAAGCUCGUGUGCUGAAUUAUAGAGGAGAAUUGAGAUGCAAAGAUAAUAUCUUGAAGAGGAAGAAGUAGAGAGCAGAGAAUAUAGUGAGCUAGUGAAAGGUUGUGAUAUAUUGAAAAUGAUUCAUGUCCCUCCCCUUAUCGAAUACAACAACAUAUAACACUUUCCAGAAUCUCAGCAGCCUAACCCUCCUAAUGAUUUAACAAUAAUAUAAUAGAAACAUUAAGUGAAACAACAUUAAGUGUAUAGAAGUGUAAUCGAGCCUCUAGUGCAUACAUGCACUUUACAGGUAAUGUGAAUUUUAUAAAAUGACCGAGUUAAUUAUUAUAUGCAACCAUAUAUAAGUGUAUAGAAUUAGUUCAUGAAUCUCUACAGUAACACCUACUAGGUUAAUUCGAUCGAUAUUUCUAGUGUGGUUGGAGAGGGUUGCUACAAUUCCUCCCCUCUUCAAAGAUUUCAUCCUCGAAAUUUAGGGCUUAAUAUCUCUCGGCUAGCUAGAAUAUAACUAGUUACCAUUCCUUCAUUCACAAGCGACACGUAAUAAGUAAGGUUCCCAAGUUUUAGAGAUAGAACCUAACCUAAGUGAUCAAAAUAUACGCAUAUCAAUGAAGCAAAUAGUGAUACGUUAACUUCUUUCUCCCUUGUAGCAAACCCACUCUCUAGAUUCCUCCAUACUACCUUCAACAUAGGGAUUUGCUUACUAUUAAGGAUCAAAACUAUAAUAUGAACUAAUACUUCCUGGUAUGAUAAAUCUUUCUCCAACUCUACCUCACCAGGUUGGAUAAUAUGAGAUGGAUCUAUUUGAUACUUCUUAAGCAGACUCAUAUUAAACAUGUUAUGGAUUAUGUUUAGCUCAGUCAGAAAAGCUAGGGCAUAAGCAACCUAUCCCACUUUACCUAUGAUAUCAUAAGGUCUAAUGUACAUUGGAGCUAACUUUUCCUUCCUUCCAAAUCGCAUUAGACCCUUACAAGGACAUAACUUAAGGAAAACUUUGAAACCCCACCUUAGGAGUCCCAGUCAAACCACUAGUUCAACCAAGGAAUCCCAGUCAAACCUAACUGAAAUACUUUAACAAAACUGACCAACAAGGAUCUCGGAUCCCAAAAUCAAACAAGAUAAAAGAAGAUCCAACUCCAGCACUGAAAAUACAUAAAAACAUAUAUCAUCUGAUAUCAAAACUCUGACCAACUCUCUAGUUACAUCAAGGAAACAAUAUCUAAUGGGGUCAGUGGUAACCACUGAAUGACUAUCUAUACUCGCAUAGAACUAAGACUACAACUGGAAUUGUGUCGAGACAUAAUUGAGGAUAGAACAUGUAAGUCUAUCUAGUGACUACAUCUAGUAAUGUGACCAUGUGGUCAUGUAGGCAUCAACCUAAUGUCAACCACCCCUAGCUGUGAGUGGAUACCUCAUGGUGGAUCAGACCAUAAAAACACGCUGACUACCGUGUGAGCAGCAUCUAUAUGCAUACUCAACACGUCCUGCUUGAGCCUAAUUAUAACCUGGGGGAUCGCGCAAUCCAUGGGUAGGUGAGCAACACAUCAUAAUCGGGAGCUAAUAUAGCUAAGCAUAAUCAUGUCCUAACAUGAACUGGGAACUACACACCAUAGUUCAAUCACGAAGAACUUAUGCUCAAAAUAUAAUAACUAUCUGUACAGUAUAUCACACGCUACUGUACUGCUUAAGAGCCCUCCCUCAAAUCACAUCACAACACAGCACCUGUAGAUCACAUGAUAAUGUAUAAUUUUGAGAGCCCAUAUCUGAAUCACAACACAUGUAUAGUAGAUCACACACUACUGUACAAUCUUGAGAGCCCUUGCUCCAAAACACACUGAGAACCCAAUCAUUGGAAUCCUGACAACCUACUACAGUUCUAGGCUUGAAGUAGAAAAGUAAUUCUAACCCCCACCUCUAUUUAGAUUCUUCGUAGAGUCUGAUUCGUGGCCUCAUUCAUGAAGCUCAAGCCUUCUGUCCUGUUAGACCUGAAGAGAACAAUCAAAGAUUGAAUCUCCAAAAACCCUAACUUUCAGGUUUCCAUACCUAAGUUUCAAUCUAUAGGACUAAGAGAGGAAGAAGAGGAUUGAUUACCUUCUCAUACAUCUCCUAACCUCUAUAAUCCUCUAUCCUUGAUCCUGGAUCGAUCAGCUCUGACUUCUCCCCUUGAUCGAUCUCCUUCAUCUCUUGGGAGAGAAUCUCCGUCCAUAGGUCUUUAUGUUUUUGUGUUUCUGAGUUGCAGGUCGCGACUCUAAUUUUAAAUUAAGCCCACCACGCCCGUGCCAGACUUGCCACAAAGCCCGUGACUGACUGCUCACCAUGCCCGUGGCCUUGUGUUGGUCACAUCCAUGAUCUCUUGAUCGUCACACCUAUGACUGAGUACUGACCAUGACUCCGGUCUGUCUGGCAACCACGCCUGUGACAGACUAUUGGUCACGUCUGUGACUAUCCACCUAUCUGAACAAAACUCAACGGAUACAAACCAAAACCCAAACCAACAGUUGCCUCAAAAUCAUGGUGUUACAAAAACCUUUUCACCCACCUUAUAACUCAUCUCACAAGUUUGAUGAUCUACAUACUACUUAUGAUGAUCCUGAGCCACUUUGAGUUUUUCCUGAAUUACUUUCACCUUAUUAUCUGUUUCGUGAACUAACUUUAGCCCAAUUAUUUGUUUGUCUCCUUCUUCGUCCCAACAUACAAAUUCCUGCACUUCCAUCCUCAUAAUGUCUCAUACGAAGAAGUACCAAUAUUACUAUGGUAAGAGUUAUUAUAAUCAAACUCUACAAAUGGUAACAACGUUGUCCAAUGUCUUUCAAACUCAUUUACAGAUGUUCACAACACCUCCUCCAACAUAACUAUAGUUCUCUUGGUCUAUUCAUCAGUCUGUGGAUGAUAUGUUAUAGAAAAGUUCAACAUUGUCGCCAAAGUCAGAUGCAAAUGUGUCCAGAAAUGUGAUGUGAAGCUCGGCUCUCGAUCCGACACAAAUGAGAGUGGAACUCCAUGAAGUUGAACAAUAUACUCCGGGUAUAACCUUGAUAAUACCUCAUUGUUGGGCUUGUGCCAUAUUGAAAUAAAAUGAGCCACUUUUGUAAUUCUAGCCACAAUCACCCUUAUUGCAUCUUUCCCAUUUUGUGUAGGUGGAAGCCAACUUACAAAAUCCAUAAUGAUGUGCUCAAAAGUCCAUUUUGGAAUGGGUAGUGACUGUAGUUUUCGAGUUGGAGCCUAGUGUCCUAUCUUUGUCCUUUGACAUAAUAAAAACGUUAAGACAUGUUUAGCUACUAGUCUUUUCAUCCCCGACCACCAGAAAGUUGGUCAGAUGAUGUGAUACAUCUUCAUCGCACCUGGAUGCAUGGCACAAGCUGAGGAACGCGCGUUAUCCAAUAUCUUGGAACUUCUCAUUUCAACUAUAAGUAGUACCCCUCCUCAAUAACUUUGUCAAAGGCUUAGAAAUUUUAGAGAAUUCCUCAACAAACCUUCUAUAAUAUCCAACCACAUCUAGGAAGUUCCAUAACUCUAACACAUUGGUGGGUGGCUCCCACUUAAUCAUAGCUUUAAUCUUUUUUUUUUCGGGUCCAUCUCUAACCCUUUCCCAUAUAUCAAGUGACCCAUAAAUAGAACUUCCUUCAGUCAAAAUGCAUACUUUAAAAAUUUACCGUAUCAUUCCUUCUCUCUUAGGAGACACAACACCAUCAUAAGGUUCUCAGUGUGCUCUUCACUUUUUGAGUAUAUCAAGAUGUCCUCAAUGAAUACUAUCACAAUUUUUUCAAGGAAUUCAUGGAACACCUUUUUCAUGAGUGCCAUAUAUGCCGCUGGUGCAUUAGGCAAUCCAAAUGGCAUCACUAAGUACUCAUAGUGUGCAUAACGAGUAUCGAAUGCGAUUUUAGGAAUGGCUAAUUUAGAAAAUCUCAACUGAUGAUAGCCAUAUCUGAGAUUGACCUUUGAAAAUAUUGAUUCACCUUGAAGUUGAUCAAAUAAGUCAUCAAUCCUAGGAAAAUGAGACCGGUUCUUAACUAUUACUGGUUCAAACGACUAUAAUCUAUGCACUACAUCCUCAUCAAUUCCUCCUUCUUUACAAACAAUACUUGUUCUCCCCAAGGUGAGACACUUGAUCUUAUGAAACCUUUGUCCAAGAGCUCUUGUAAUUGCCGUUUUAGUUUUGCCGACUCCAGUGUUGCCAUCGAAUAUAGUGAUAUCAAAAUGGGUGCAGUUCCUUGCACCAGUUUUGAUAUCAAAAUCAACCUCUCUUUUGGGAGGAAGUCCUAAAAUUUUUCAGGAAAUAUAUCUUUAAAAUCCUUUACUACGCCUACAUCCUCCUUCUGCACUGUCACAUGUGCAGGGUAUGCUUCACAUCCACCCCGAUUAAGCUUGAAAGCUUGAACAACUGACAAGAAUGGAGAUCUGUCAUGCUCCUUUCUCAGUAUAGCUGUAAACACAAAUUUCCCCUUUCCUGACAUAUUCAUCUUAACUUCCUUCUUUCAGCAAUUCAACACCUCCCCGCUUUGAGUUAACAAGUCCAUCCAGAGGAUCAUAUCAAACUCAUCAAAUCAUAACAACAUUAAGUUUUCGAACAGCUAAACUCCCUCAACGUUUAUGGAAACGUUCCUCAUAAUUGAUUUUACCACCAGAGUGUCCCCCACUAGAGUUCUAACCAUGAAACUAUACCCAAAUUCCUUAGGUACCACUUUUAACAUCAGUGCAAGUUUACACGAAAUGAAGGAAUGUUUAGACCCAGUAUAAAAAAAAGCAUAUAAGGUACGUCCAAGGAUAAAGACUGUUCCUGUAAUAGUGUAUGUUGCAAUCUCAGCCUUCUCACAAGUCAUGGCAUAAACUCUGCCUUGAGCUUGUCCUCUCGACUGUCGAGCACCUGGGGUCUGAGAACAACUACAAACCGGUUGUGCAUUAGCUCCUAUACCUCUUCCUCCAUAGAAGCCCAUACUUCCCUGAUAAAAAUUGUUAUGACCUCCUCUAAACCCACUCACAGACGGAGCUCGGUUACUAUGGUGAAGUGAUACCUCAGAUUGGGCAUGACGAACCAUCAACAAAAAGUUUCUAACCCGAUGUCCCUGAUCAUCACACCUAAAGCAUCCCUUGUCAAUAGUAUGCAUUUCUCAGGAUCCCUCCUUCCACAAUGCUGACGAAAUUGACAUGUGUGCAUAUGUGUACACUACCUAUUGUCGUGACAUUGUGUGAACAAGUCUCUAAUAAGACAUCCUAUUUGGUCCCCUUUUUGUCAUUGGUCCCUGACCAGAGUGAAUCAUAGUCUAACUGAUCUCUUUUCUCUUUCGAUAUUCCUUAUUUUCUUCUGUUUCCUCCUUCCUCUUGUUAUCUAGAUGUUCAACCCUCAAAAGUAGCUUGUGUUAUAUCUUUCUAGCUAGCCAUAUCAGAACUGGAGAUCCCUUUCUGGAUAUUUUUUACCCUACCAGAAAAUGCUUCUUUAGAAUUGUGUCUCACUCUAAUGGGAUGGUCUGGUGCCACCUGGAUAAUAGAGUAAAUUUGAUAUAAUACUCAUGGACUGUCAAAUCCCCCUGCUUCAAUGACAUGAAUUCCAUCGGCUUUUCCUCCUUUCACUGGUCAGUGAUAAAUUUUAUAUCAAAUCUUGUUUGAAACUCUCCCAUCCCAAAAUGAAAGGAUCAUUCUCAUAUAGUCUCGUUGCCUACCACCAAGUCCUGACAUGCCCUCGAAGCAAGAAAUCAUAGUAGCCAAACCGCUCGUCCGGUGUGGCUUCUAGCUGGUCAAAUGUCGCAUUCAUAUAAUGGAUCCAAUCAAUAGCUAAUUGUGGAUCUGUACUUUCCCGCUCAAAUGUUUUCUGCCUAAACCUCUCCUUCUCUUAUAAUCUAACACCGCUCAAGGUGGAUUCACAGCAAUAUCUCCACCCCAAUCAUGACUUUGGUGCACAUUAUAAGAAGACUGCUUGAUCCUCUUUCAUAAAACUCUUUAAUUUCAAAAACCCUUUUUCUAAAUACUCCACAAAUCCUUAUGCAUAUAUGCGACUAACUAUGUAUCAUAGAUGACACAACCGCUCAUUCGGUAGUGCAAAUACGGUUAUAGAAUACCUUCCCUCUUUUGGGGAUCGCGACAUCCCAAAAGAGAAACGUAGCAUACCUAUAACGCAGAAGACAACCAGACUUUGAUACCACCAUGUAACAUCCCUCACUAGAUCGAGUUGGAAACAUUGUCAAAUUGUAAUAAAUCCGCGGAGCAGUAAUAGGGGUGCUGCGCUACUUAUGCAAACUCAUCAAUUAAAUUCCUUCUAUAGAGUUUCUAGAACUUCACUUAAAAUUAUUCAUAAAAUAGACAAGUCGAUACAAAAAAUGAUCCAGAUGUCAUAUAUGACUUAUUUAUUUUAUACAGUAUAGAACACCAAAUAAGAAGUCCAUAAGGAUACAUCUUAGUACAGAUCAGAACAGAAGUCUCAAGCUCCACAGUCUCGGAAUAGAGUCACCAUAUACUUUUCCCUUGUGGCCCUUACAUUUCACAAAACUAUAUUGCGCAGCGUACUAGCAUAAGACAACCCAUGACAUAUGUAUAUAGUGAAAGUAACACUCUCAUAUGAGUUUUAAAACACACAACGAGAAUCAAGACACAAUCAUCGAUUUCUACCUGGUGUCGCCAUGAUGACCGACCCCAGAACCUGAUGACGCCAUACAGUAGAUUCCUAGUGAUGAACUAGUGUAGCCUACUGUGUCCCUGAAUGGAAAAAUAAGGGCCAAUGCUAAUCAUACUGAAAGUAUUCAGCGUGUAUCACAUAAGGCUGCAUAUAUUCUAACACCUUUUCUUAUAUUUUAUUUAGGAUCCUGGCUCAUAUAUGCUGAUGACUCAUAUGUUAGUGGAACCGAAUUGGGCCAUAGAGACAGUGGUUAGUGUAACGCUUAUCGAGGUCCACAAUGAUACAGUAGUUAGUGUGGCGCUUACCAAUGCCCACCACGAAACAGAAGUGUAAUGAGCACUAAUCAAACAUACGAGCCGUAACUAGGUGAUCAAUCAAUUACCAGAUAUAUUCAAUAAUCAGUAACAUGUAAGUUUGGACUAAAGCAUAUAUGACAAUAGAUAUACCAGCAAGAUAACAUAACAUAUCUCACAUCAAAUUACAAAUAAAGUAAAUAAGCAUAUAUAUUCUUAAGGUUAAACGGCCAUUAUCCUAUAGCAUGCAUAUGACAUUUAAUAAUAAUAAACUCAUAAUGAAACAUCUAACCCGAUCGGAUACACAGGAGACCCUGACCAAAAAUAAUCCUUUAAAACCCCGAUAAUAUCUUUCAGAUCGAGAUUUUAACUUUGGACCUCCUUUAAGAAAAAAUCGCAAGGUGCUAGUUUCCCCGUAAUCCCUCGACUUACGUUUUAAGGCUCAUAAAUAUUUCCCCUACUGAAGCUAAACAAUUUCUGCCCUUUUAUAAUGAAGAAAUGGUUGUAUCAACAUCGCUUUAAUCAUCUACCAAGUGAAUGCCUAACAAUGCCAAUAAGCUAAUUAACUUAAGGAAAACACUCUAAUGGAAACAUGCAUCCGGUACAAACCCUACAUGGAAAAAUACCAUUGACUGAUUUUUGUAUUAAAAAAUAUUCUAAAUUAACACCCAAAUAUGUCAAACAGUGCAACUAGAUCACCCAAAUUUAUUCAAUUUAAAUUUGUUAUCUUCUUUUCUUCUCUGUACGCAAACCUCCUUCACCAUUAAUAACAACCAAAUAUGUCAAACAGUGCCUGAUGUUGUAGGCAAGAGGUAUGAAUUGUUUGCAUAGCAGCACGCCGAAAAGUGUGCACACGGAUAUUAAGUCCCCUAAUCUGCUUGUUAAUAAAACUGGAACGUUAAGGUAUGCCAUGUGAAUUUGCUAGGGUUCUUAUCUUAUCAUUUUGCGAUGCAACUCGAAUACGAAUAAUCUGAGUUGUAUUCUUGUAAUGUGUAUGCAGGUUUGUGGUUCGGAUUGUCACGCUGGCAGCACAACAUAUUUUUGGCCUCCAAAUCAACAGUCGGAACGGUGAUAUUCUCGCCUGCAUCUAGUUUAUGCACUAGAAAGAUUAUGUAUCAUGAAGCCAACCUUUUACCUCAUAAACCGAUGGAUUUCCUUUGAAUGUGUUACAGCUGGAAUCGAUGGCACCCGAAGUUCUAUGCAACAAAUUCUCAGAGUUUGAGUUGGUGAUCUCUUAUUGAUUAAUACUAUGAUCUUAUAUGCUUUACUUGCUUUUCUUUGAGCUGAACGAACUCGACAUUCUUCUGCUUAUGUUAACGGGCGAUGAGGUCUUCCUAUAGAGAAGAAAAGAAAAUUAAGGUGAUGGAAAUUAAAAAAAAAAAGAAAAAUAUAAUAGAAAAAAUGGAAGCGAAAUUAACGGUUUUGAAUUGAAUGAAUGUGGGUGAUAUAAUUGUGUUGUUUCAUAUAUUUGGAUAUUAAUUCAUCAUUAUCUUUUACUAAAAAAAACCAAAGAUUCCAUCAUAUAGUAUUUAUACUUAAUGUAUAUUUCCAUUAAAGUAUCCGCCUUAACUUUAAUUAUCCUAAAGCUAUUUGUCCAAAUCUUUGGCACCUAGACAUUUAAUUCAUAUAAAGGGAUGUCCCAAGCUAGGCACGUUCAUACUUCUCUUUUGAAAGGUAAUGUGAAUAUUUUACAAGAUAACCAAGUUAAUUAUUAAAUGCAUCCAUAUAUAACUGUAUAGUAAUAUUUUGAUCAAUAUUUUUAGUGUGGUUGGAGCGGAUUUCUACAAAAGAUAAUCCACUGACCAUUAUAGGAACAUGGAACCAAUUGCGAAUCCCAGCCCCAUUAUAAAAAGUCCCGAUCACAUACACAAAUUCUCGAUCCCGGUCCUCGUGGAAGUUUGAAUUUGAGGUCCUGAAUUUAUUAGACAUUUCAUAACUUCGAACAGGAUAUGCUGCAUCUCAUUCUCAAAAUUCUAGCCCAACUUGAUAGGAUAAUAACUCGAUAUUGAUUUAAACAUUUCAAUUAUAUGGAAAUUACUAGGUAGACAGUGAUAUAGGUACUUCAGUAGAAUAAAACAUGUUUGUUAUUGUUAAGAAAAAGCCAAAUAUUCAAAUUUAAUUUAAAUUUUGAGUCGAUUGUCAAAUCUAAUUUGAAUUAUUUUGAUGACUAUUAUUUAGCCAAUAGUUUCGUUCUUCCGAUAAUACUAGCCCGUUGACUAAAUUUUCCGAUAAAUUUGUUACCUUUAAUGACGAGGCAGAUGGAGCUGACAUGACAUUCGCUUAAGAGGUUAAAUAAAUACGAUAUCAGCUGCCAAAUCAGCAUUUCAAUUACGAAACAAAAUUUAAUUAAAUAAAAAGUUGAUUAUUCCCAACAAAAAUAAAAUUAAAAAUCAAACCGAACAAUUUUUUUAUUAUUUUGUUAUUUAUAAAUUUUCUUAAUUGCAGUGUUUACUUAAUUUGGGGAUGGUGAUGUGGCUACAUUUGACAUGUCAACUUGUAUGUCACUUUGGUGGUCUAAGUUUCGUUACUGUCGACGGAAAAUUUAGCAAAAUUCUGUUAAAAGGCAGAUUUAGGAUUUAAAAUAGUUCAGGCUAAAUUUGGGUUUUUGGCCUUAAGAAAAUGUCGAAAAACGUACUAUUCUCUCCUAUUACUUUGGCUUCUACAUGUUUACGGUAUGACAAUUUUAUGUUUGAAUACAAUGAAUGCAGUUUUUGACUUCUUAAGCACGGAUUAAUACACAGUCCAUACCUCUUCAAACAAAGUUCGAAGGAGGGUGUUCGAUGUCUACAAUGGCUAUAUACUGCUAUCUACUACUACUUUUAUGGAUGCUCUGAGAGAGCUCAAAACUAAAGCUAUGUCUAUGACGAAAGAUAAAUUUUGAUUAAGGGUCUGCUUGAUCAGAUUUGUCUGUGUUCUUCUAUGUUGAUUGUAUAUGGUAUUUACGCUGUCGUGGGUAGUAAGAGGCAACUUUCGCCGAGGUUACUUCUCAUGUCAUGAACGUAGGUGCAAUUUCUUCUCUUCCUCAACCGCUUGGGAUAGUGGUGUUGGCAGUUCCUUCUCUUCAGGGACUUGGGUGUGUUCUCUUUUUGCAGCUUUAUGCGUUCAUAACAUGCCAGUGGACAGUCGGCAGGGUCCCUAGGACGCAAUUUAUUUGAAACACCCUAUACUUCUACCAUUUACUAAAUGACAAAAAUGCUCCGGUCAGGGAACUUAAAUAAAAAAAAGACAUAGAACAAAAUUUAAAUUCUCUAGUAGUCAAUGAAAACUGUUAUAACACACCAUGAAAAUGAAAAUAUAAAGUUUCAUUGAAAACACUCUAAGACAAAUAACUAUCUUAAAAAUUAAGUCCACCUCUCCACACAUCCUGAAUCAGCUCAACUAUGCUCCUACAUCAACUACCAAAACACCAUGGUGGGUGGUUUGGGGUCAGUCUUUUGUGCUCUAAUCUUAACAUUUAAUAUACUGACACGAAUGCACUACUAAAACGUUAUUCAACUUCAUCUAACCAUAUAGAGUUAACAUUCAUUUCUGCUACUAUGCUACCACUACUAAGGUUGUCUAAACAUCUACUAGCAUCAUCCAUCUAGGAUAUCAUAACUAUAGGGCGUCCCUUGAACUUAUCUAACUAGACUUACCAUUCAUUUGCCAGACUUAAGAUAACAUCGUGGGUCUCUAGUGGCCCAGUACUAUCAUGUGGGACUCUAGUGGUCGGAUAGCUAAUAACGGGACUCUAAUGACCCAAUAGCUAAUAGCGGGACUCUAGUGGCCCGAGUAACUAAGCCUUGGAUCUCUAUUGGUCGAAGGUCACAGGCUGACAAUCUGUAUCGGGGGUCUAGCUAGAGAGUUAUGUACUACUGUGUCAUUUGACUAUUAGAUCGUCUACUAAUGGUAUAGGCUUAUAGUAGUUUGCCCACUAAUUAUUUUCAGCUCAAUUAUAUUAGUAUAUUUGAUCAUAUGAUCUAAUUAAUUAUCUUAGAAGAAUCGAAAUAUCGAUCAUGUCUAAUUCAUAGACUAAAGAGUCUAUUUUUAACUAAUUCAUAAUUUAAAUUUAUUCCAAUAUCCAAUUAUUAUGAACAACUAUAUGUUCCUAACAAUUUCAUACUAGCUGAUCUAUUAUUAAUUACAAACUUAAUCCAUUAAGAAUCAAUUCUAUAGUCUAAUAAUUGACAAUAAACAAGUUAACCGGAUUUUAUACUAGAUUGAACUACCCAGUAAAUUAUUUGGGUAUAUUUUGUCACAACCUGAAAGUUACAAGUCGCGGCAGUGACAAUAAACAAUUAAGGACUGAACUGAUAGAGUCUAGAAGUUUUGUAUUGCUAAGUUAAUUUCUAGAACUGUAGGUGUUGAACGCAAUUACUAGAAGUCCAGUGACGGUACUGUAAUCACCGAGACUUCCAGGGGCAGUUACUGAAAUUUCCCCAAAGUUGUCUCCUUCCUAGAAUAAAGGAACUGACGCGACUCCGACGGGCCCGGGUUUUCGCCGAAACCUAACCAAACUGAAACCAACGACCGAGAAAAGGUUUCUAACCUCAAUACGAAGCUAAUCCGCGCAUCUGGACGGUUUGAAGGCGACUGGUGAUCAGAUCGGAAAGGAUGAAUCGCCGACAAGGUGUUCAUGCUUCCGGAAACGAAUCAAGUUGUUAAUAUGGCUUAAAUUCAGAGUUCAUCGAAUCAAAGAGGUUUGGAAAUACUAGAGGAUAGCUUCUUACUUAACAAAAACAAGAGUGUGAUGGGAUUUCAAUGCCUUCAGAUCAGGGGAGGACGUCACCGUCUAAGAUUGAAGCCUAUCAUCAAUUGCUCGUGACUGUUGUGGUUACUCAACUUGGAGGUGGAACAUCCAGGAGCACUUAGGGUUAUGAAAGUAGGACUGUAUAGGGUGUGAUUGGGAAGAACCAAAAGAAGACGCAAAAACGAUAAGGAUUGUCGCCAGAUUUCUCGAUAGUGAACCGCGUCGGAAUGGCUACGGAAAAGGAAGCUGGAGAUUUGCAGAUGAUGAUGUCGUCUUCAUGUCAUCAUCCACGUCACCAGCACUGGCUAUUGUAUACUUCAAUGAUAGGUCAGAAGGAUUGAGUCAGCGCCCAUUCAACUGUACGGUGUCGUUUUACUAUGUGUUGGAAUUGGAAACAAUUAAAGGGACUUCCAGAGGAGGGAAUCGAACUCAAGAGCUUUACUCUAAUGGAUUAGAUUCUUAUAUACUAGGGUACAGCUGAAUUCAUUAUUCAAAUUCCCUUUAGCCAUAGCUAAUCCCUCACGGAUGUGAUUUCAGGUGCAUAAUAGUGACUUCCCAAGAGGUCCUCCCCUGAUCUUAGAGGAUGGCUAUGGAAAAGGAAGCUGGAGAUUUGGUUAGGUCGAUUUUGUGGAGUGCUAGGGUAGGGCUAUAUAUCAGGAUGUCGUCAAAGAAAACUAGGAUAAAUUUACGGAGGUAAGGUCCUAAUAUGUAGUUUAUGAGGGCUUGGAAUGUGGCUGGGGCAUUUGUGAGGCCAAAAGGCAUUAUCCUAAACUCAUAGUGGCCAUGGUGAGUUCUAAAGGCUGUUUUAUGUUGGUCUUCUGGCAACAUACGAAUUUGGUGGUAUCCUGCUCUAAGAUCAAGCUUAAUGAAGUAUGUGGAUCCAUGUAAUUAAUCUAAGAGUUCAUCUAUUAUAGGAAUGGGGAACUUGUCCUUGAUAGUGAUGGCAUUCAACUGUCUAUAGUCAACACAAAAUCAUCAAGAAGUGUUUUCUUUUUAACUAACAUGGCAGGGGAUGCAAAAGGGCUAUGGCUAGGUGAGAUAAUAUCAGCAGCAAGCAUUUCCCCUACCAAUCUUUUUGAGCAGGUGUGUACCUGUAUGGCCAAUCAUUGAUGGUUCUAUGAUUUGACUCCAAGGGAAUAGCAUGAUCACAUGAUCUUACAAGUGGCAGGGAUUUAGGCACAUUAACACAUCAGGAAAAAGAACAAGAACAUCAGAUAAGGCAUUUGGUAUAACCUGUUGUAUAAUUGGAGUAGCUUAGUGGAAAAAUUGUCCAACUAGGUAGGGAGGAUGCUUCUUGGUUAGGCUCUUGUAAAACUCCUUUUUUAUCAUGGAUUUGUAAUUUCCUGUUUCACUCAAGCCUUUGAGGGUAAAGGACUUGCCCUGCCAUUGGAACUCCAGACUUAGUUGCUUGAAAUCCAUCUCUACCGGGUUAAUUAUUUGCAAUCAAUCAAAUCCCAACACCAAAUCAUUCUCCUUGAGGUCCAGGACACGCACAUCAAAACUAAACGGUUAUCCUUGCAUCAAUCAUGUGAAUCCCUUACAGGUUUUCGUGUUGAGUAUGGCAUCUCUGUUAGCAACCUUCAUCGUUGGAGCAGGUUGCAAGGUGCAUUGCAAUGGUUCUGCACAAAAUUGACUAGGGAAGGUAUGACUACUCCCUGUGUCAACCAAAAUUAGCAAGCGAACUCUUCCAAUUUUGUCUUUUAAUUCAAAUAAGAGAUGUGAUUAGCUUCCAUUGCCAAGUAGUGGAUCUCCUCCAAUUCUUGAGUGUCCUCCACAUCUGCCAUAUCAUUCUCCACAUCCUCCGCUGUUACUUUAGCAUCUCCUUCCAACAGGUUGAGGCGUUUCUUCCCACAUUGAUGGCCAUAAAAAUAUCGGUCUCCACAUUUGAAGCAAGCUCCUGGGUUCUUCCCCCUUGAGUAGAAGCUCCAAAAGGUCUGGUUGGAGCCGCCUGGAACCUCCUUGAACUGCCAAGACGAGGGCCAUUUGAAUCUAGCAACCGAUUAUUGGAGCUACGUUACUUCUUCUUUCUAGCCUCAAUGGAGGUUUCCUCCAUCCGUGCCCGCAAGAUGUUGUGUUCAACAUUUGGGGUCUCAACAUCAACAGAGCAUGUUCCAUUUCACUAUCUAGCCCACUGAUAAAACUAUUGAUAAAAUACUCCUCUCCCAAUAUGAGAGUGAGCUUAAGCAUUCAAGCUCUCAGCUCUUCAAAUUGUUCUUUGUACUAUGUCACUAACCUGGUCUGCUUCAGCUAAUUAAAAGCUCCCACUGUAUUAAUAUGACCAGAAUCGCCGAAUCUCUACAGUAAAUCAACAACAAAAUCCUCCCACAAAAUGAUCGGUCGUCCAGCACAUCAUCCUUGAAACCAUACAUCCGCACGAUCUUCCAGCAAAAGAGAGACCAAAUCCAUCUUUUGAUUAUCAACUAUAUUAUGCAUAGUAAAUAACUUUUGGCACUUACAGAUCCACGAAGUUGGCUCAUUACUACUGAAAUGGGAAAAUUCCAGCCUUGGCAUGUGAUGAUGCCCUGCCUAAUCGCCACGUGGAAGGAGUCAACAGUCCAGUGGUGCCGGCGGUUGCUGAGCCUCGAGCAAGCGCUGCAUGAUCCAUUCGUAAGUCGAAAACAUCUGCCGUCAGCAGCCCCUGGGCGGUGGCAAACCGGUUUAGGGUUUCUUGAACGGCAGUCACCGCCUCCUCCAAUGUAGUUAGGUGUUAGUUUGUCAUGCCGGAGAGGGCUCUGAAUAUCAAUUGUCACACCCCUGAUGUACUCCGGCGAUUAGAAAGAGAAUUAGAAAGGAGAGAAGGGAGGUGAGGAAGAGAGAAAUUGACAGAGAAUAUUUUUUUAUUAAUUUCCUCAAAUGGGCUCUCUCAUAUAAAUUCAAUUGUAUCAUUACAGAAAUUAUCAUUUUUGGUCCCUCGAUUAUUAAAAAUAACAAAACAACAAAACAUUGAAAAGUUGCAAUUUCG